CCUACGGGCGGCAGCAGUGAGGAAUAUUGGUCAAUGGACGAGAGUCUGAACCAGCCAAGUAGCGUGAAGGAUGACUGCCCUAUGGGUUGUAAACUUCUUUUAUAUGGGAAUAAAACGUUCCACGUGUGGGAUUUUGUAUGUACCAUAUGAAUAAGGAUCGGCUAACUCCGUGCCAGCAGCCGCGGUAAUACGGAGGAUCCGGGCGUUAUCCGGAUUUAUUGGGUUUAAAGGGAGCGUAGGUGGAUUGUUAAGUCAGUUGUGAAAGUUUGCGGCUCAACCGGAAAAUUGCAGUUGAAACUGGCAGUCUUGAGUACACGAGAGGUGGGCGGAAUUCGUGGUGUAGCGGUGAAAUGCUUAGAUAUCACGAAGAACCCCGAUUGCGAAGGCAGUUCACUGCACUGCAACUGACACUGAGGCUCGAAAGUGUGGGUAUCAAACAGGAUUAGAUACCCCUGUAGUC
RNAcentral lists this ribosomal RNA (460 nucleotides) under uncultured bacterium. Its description in RNAcentral is "partial 16S ribosomal RNA". It matches the Rfam family "Bacterial small subunit ribosomal RNA", at positions 338 to 795 of the family's 1533-position model. The record is from RNAcentral.